AGUGGCGGACGGGUGAGUAACGCGUGGGCAACCUGCCCCAUACAGGGGGAUAACAGCCGGAAACGGCUGCUAAAACCGCAUAAGCGCACAAGGGCCGCAUGGCCUGGUGUGAAAAACUCCGGUGGUAUGGGAUGGGCCCGCGUCUGAUUAGCUAGUUGGCGGGGGAGAGGCCCACCAAGGCGACGAUCAGUAGCCGACCUGAGAGGGUGGCCGGCCACAUUGGGACUGAGACACGGCCCAAACUCCUACGGGAGGCAGCAG
RNAcentral lists this ribosomal RNA (261 nucleotides) under uncultured bacterium. Its description in RNAcentral is "partial 16S ribosomal RNA". It matches the Rfam family "Bacterial small subunit ribosomal RNA", at positions 94 to 354 of the family's 1533-position model. The record is from RNAcentral.